CUAAUGAAUGCGAGUCGAACAGACUACGGUAAUCGUAACUGCUUUCGGGCAGUUACACUCUCCGUAGUUAGUGGCAAACGGGUGGGUAACACGUGGGUAACGUGCCUUCAGGACGAGGAUAACGGGGCGAAAGCCCUGCUAAUACUCGAUGGACUGCCCCCGCUAUGGCGGGGACCAGUAAAUGCUCCGGCGCCUGGAGAUCGGCCCGCGGCCCAUUAGCUUGUUGGUGAGGUAACGGCUCACCAAGGCGACAAUGGGUAGCUGGUCUGAGAGGACGAUCAGCCACACUGGGACUGAGACAUGGUCCAGACUCCUACGGGAGUUAGCAUCCGGGAAUCUUGCACAAUGGGCGCAAGCCUGAUGCAGCGACGCCGCGUGGGUGAUGAAGGUCUGCGGAUCGUAAAGCCCUGUCAGGAGGGAAGACACCCGACUGUACCUCCAAAGGAAGCCCCGGCUAACUACGUGCCAGCAGCCGCGGUAC
This 481-nucleotide ribosomal RNA is filed under the name uncultured bacterium. RNAcentral's name for it is "bacterial SSU rRNA". It matches the Rfam family "Bacterial small subunit ribosomal RNA", at positions 48 to 523 of the family's 1533-position model. The record is from RNAcentral.